UCCCUGAUGGUUCAGCAGCUAUGACUCUGCACUCCCAAUGCAGGGGCCUAGAUUCGAUCCCUGGUCAGGGAA
Molecule: transfer RNA, 72 nt
Filed under: Bos taurus (domestic cattle)
Lineage: Eukaryota; Metazoa; Chordata; Mammalia; Artiodactyla; Bovidae
Also listed under: 3 other names
Rfam family: tRNA
About the family: Transfer RNA (tRNA) molecules are approximately 80 nucleotides in length. Their secondary structure includes four short double-helical elements and three loops (D, anti-codon, and T loops).
Source: Rfam by way of RNAcentral